Molecule: ribosomal RNA, 484 nt
Filed under: uncultured bacterium
Lineage: Bacteria
Description: partial 16S ribosomal RNA
Rfam family: Bacterial small subunit ribosomal RNA
Source: RNAcentral
AUUGAACGCUGGCGGCAGGCCUAACACAUGCAAGUCGAGCGGAUGAAGGGAGCUUGCUCCUGGAUUCAGCGGCGGACGGGUGAGUAAUGCCUAGGAAUCUGCCUGGUAGUGGGGGAUAACGUCCGGAAACGGGCGCUAAUACCGCAUACGUCCUGAGGGAGAAAGUGGGGGAUCUUCGGACCUCACGCUAUCAGAUGAGCCUAGGUCGGAUUAGCUAGUUGGUGGGGUAAAGGCCUACCAAGGCGACGAUCCGUAACUGGUCUGAGAGGAUGAUCAGUCACACUGGAACUGAGACACGGUCCAGACUCCUACGGGAGGCAGCAGUGGGGAAUAUUGGACAAAGGGCGAAAGCCUGAUCCAGCCAUGCCGCGUGUGUGAAGAAGGUCUUCGGAUUGUAAAGCACUUUAAGUUGGGAGGAAGGGCAGUAAGUUAAUACUUUGCUGUUUUGACGUUACCAACAGAAUAAGCACCGGCUAACUUCGUG